CUUCCAUGCAGAUCGACGGCAGCGCGGGGCAACCUGGCGGCGAGUGGCGAACGGGUGAGUCNUAUAUCGGAACGUACCCUGGAGUGGGGGAUAACGUAGCGAAAGUUACGCUAAUACCGCAUACGAUCUAAGGAUGAAAGUGGGGGAUUCGCAAGAACCUCAUGCUCCUGGAGCGGCCGAUAUCUGAUUAGCUAGUUGGUGGGGUAAAGGCCUACCAAGGCAUCGAUCAGUAGCUGGUCUGAGAGGACGACCAGCCACACUGGAACUGAGACACGGUCCAGACUCCUACGGGAGGCAGCAGUGGGGAAUUUUGGACAAUGGGCGAAAGCCUGAUCCAGCAAUGCCGCGUGAGUGAAGAAGGCCUUCGGGUUGUAAAGCUCUUUUGUCAGGGAAGAAACGGUGAGAGCUAAUAUCUCUUGCUAAUGACGGUACCUGAAGAAUAAGCACCGGCUAACUACGUGCCAGCAGCCGCGGUAAUACGUAGGGUGCAAGCGUUAAUCGGAAUUACUGGGCGUAAAGCGUGCGCAGGCGGUUUUGUAAGUUUGUCGUGAAAGCCCCGGGCUCAACCUGGGAAUUGCGAUGAAGACUGCAAGGCUUGAAUCUGGCAGAGGGGGGUAGAAUUCCACGUGUAGCAGUGAAAUGCGUAGAGAUGUGGAGGAACACCGAUGGCGAAGGCAGCCCCCUGGGUCAAGAUUGACGCUCAUGCACGAAAGCGUGGGGAGCAAACAGGAUUAGAUACCCUGGUAGUCCACGCCCUAAACGAUGUCUACUAGUUGUCGGGUUUUAAUUANCUUGGUAACGCAGCUAACGCGUGAAGUAGACCGCCUGGGGAGUACGGUCGCAAGAUUAAAACUCAAAGAAUUGACGGGGNACCCGCACAAGCGUGGAUGAUGUGGAUUAAAUUCGAUGCACGCGAAAAACCUUACCUACCCUGACAUGU
Molecule: ribosomal RNA, 940 nt
Filed under: Duganella sp. LT17CD
Lineage: Bacteria; Pseudomonadati; Pseudomonadota; Betaproteobacteria; Burkholderiales; Oxalobacteraceae
Description: bacterial SSU rRNA
Rfam family: Bacterial small subunit ribosomal RNA
Source: RNAcentral